CAUAAGGGGAUUGUCUGAUGAAUU
This 24-nucleotide non-coding RNA is filed under the name Cricetulus griseus (Chinese hamster). Lineage: Eukaryota; Metazoa; Chordata; Mammalia; Rodentia; Cricetidae. The record is from RNAcentral.